AGAGUUUGAUCCUGGCUCAGAACGAACGCUGGCGGCGCGUUUUAAGCAUGCAAGUCGAGCGGCAAGGGCCUUCGGGCCCCUAGAGCGGCGGACGGGUGAGUAACACGUGGACAAUCUGCCCCCCGGUCCGGGAUAGCCCAGGGAGACCUGGAUUAAUACCGGAUGAGACGGGACCCGCGAGGGCGGGAUCCGGGAAAGGCGCUACGGCGCCGCCGGGGGAUGAGUCUGCGUCCCAUUAGCUAGACGGCGGGGUAACGGCCCACCGUGGCGUCGAUGGGUAGCCGGCCUGAGAGGGUGAACGGCCACAUUGGAACUGAGACACGGUCCAGACUCCUACGGGAGGCAGCAGCUAAGAAUCUUCCGCAAUGGGCGAAAGCCUGACGGAGCGACGCCGCGUGAACGAAGAAGGCCGUGAGGUUGUAAAGUUCUUUUCGGGAGGGGGAACAACCGUGGCAGGGAAUGGCCGCGGGAUGACGUGAAUCCCGGAAUAAGCCCCGGCUAACUACGUGCCAGCAGCCGCGGUAAUACGUAGGGGGCGAGCGUUGUCCGGAUUUACUGGGCGUAAAGGG
RNAcentral lists this ribosomal RNA (569 nucleotides) under uncultured bacterium. RNAcentral describes it as "bacterial SSU rRNA". It matches the Rfam family "Bacterial small subunit ribosomal RNA", at positions 8 to 567 of the family's 1533-position model. The record is from RNAcentral.